Molecule: non-coding RNA, 46 nt
Filed under: Trichobilharzia regenti
Lineage: Eukaryota; Metazoa; Platyhelminthes; Trematoda; Strigeidida; Schistosomatidae
Source: RNAcentral
GUACUGAUGAAGAGUCCCAAACUAGGGCGAAACAUCUGUUCAGUAC